UAUUGCUCUAAGCUUAGGAGACAAGAUCACAAUCAAACAGAAGGGAGGUUCUUAGAAGAAGAAGAAGAAUUAACCACCAGGUUUUACUUUUUAUGAGCUUGCGUUUAUUUUUGGAUCAACCGUCUCUUAUUCCGAUUUCCAAAACUACCUUUCGCUUGCAAUAAAUACCAAUACUUCCUCCUUUAGAACAGCACCACACUCGAGUCGCUCUUGAUACAAAGAUUUCUUUCACUUGUAUUGGAAUUUGGAAAGAAAUGUUUAGUUAGCAGUCAGUUAUUUGUGUAUGGGUUACAUAUUUACUUUCGAACUCUAUUGUUUUAUCACCAUCUUUCACCAUUUUAUCACCUGCUACCAUUUAUCCAUUGGUCAUAUUUUGGAUUUUGAGAUUUUGGAGAGGCAUUCUUGCCCGAGUAUUAAAGUCUCAUUAAUUUACCGAGGAUUUAGUUUAUCAACAUAUUUCAACAUCAAUUGACAAAUCAUACUUUUUUUUUAAAAAAAAUUCACAUUAAUGAAAUGAACGACUCAUUUCAUCUCACAAAUCCAACGGUUAUGACUCAUCAUCAUCCUUAAAUAGUCUCACCAUCAAUAAGUAUUAUUAGAUGUUUCUUUUAUCUAAAUAAAUAAAUAUAAGUGUUAACUGUUGAGAAAUGAUAUUUUAUAUAGUUGGGACUUGGGAUAAGCGGUGUUUAAAAUUUAAAUAGAAUGUUAAAUAUAAAGAAUCGUAAUAUGGUUAGAAUUAACAGGACUUAGAACACCAUUAAAGGUCAUGGUAAUACCUAAAUGGAUACUUUGAAUGUUUUGAUGCUAAAUUAAACUAGAUCUUAGAUUACUUGUGAAGGUUUAAUUUAUUCAGAAAUAUAGAAAUUGAUGGUGUAUAGGCUUACAAGUUAGUCGCCACACACGCACAACAAUCUCUCUUGCACAAGGUGAAGUAUUCUCUCUAUUUUUCAACCACUUCCCUUGUUGGACUUCGUUCAUGGACUUCCUGAACCUCCAUCGGCUCAGCCCCGUUGUUCGGGCGAGGAAGACUCAUGGUCUGUUCGGCCUGAGGUCCGCUUGGACGGGUCUCGAUACCAACAGAAAUGCUUGUACUAAGUUGAUAGUCUAUCUAAUAUAAGUUAGUAAUGAAAAUGUAAAUAUGUUUGUAGAUAUACGUGGAAAAGUAGAUUUUUUUUCGAAUAAAAAUCGUGAUAAAUAUAUACCUGAAAAAAUGGUACACCACGUGGCAGUGAGCCUCGCUGAACUUGACCCCAUAUAGAGGCAGCCCGAAGGCUACAAUUAACACAAAUCGUAAUAAAAACAAAGAUAACUCAUACACUCUCUAAAAAACUCAUUUGUCUAGUCUCAUAUUUCCACACACCCUUCCCUUUCAUCUCGGUUUCAGAAACCCUUCAAAAAGGUUAAGAUAUGCUUCCGCCCGCCAUGUGCUUGUGUUCACCCGAUGGCUCGACACUCCUAUGCGAACAUAGUUCAUUGAAGACAUCCUUCUUCCCCUCCUCCCCGAAAGAAGACAAGGAUCGAAAUCGCCAACAAUCAACUAAGUCGACUAGUCAGACGUGGGACAAACGUAGGGUAGCCACCGCCACCCUUCCACCCCAAAAGAGUUUUGUUCCUUAGGGUAUCUUACCAUACCCAAUUUGGGAUCCGGACCCACUAUUAAGUAACAUCCGUUGGGGGGUUAUUUUGGAUACCCCCUCUAUCUCAUACAACAAAUAACAUGUCCUCCAUAGUUGAGUUUCUAGAUUUAAAUGUAGAUAUAUCAUAGACAAUACGUACAUCCACAACUAUACGCCGUACUAGCUCUGGUGUCGGUAAAGAUCUGCUCUUAUGCUUCCUCCGAUUACGCUCACCCCAAAUUGUCCAUGUGGUUGACUCAAGUAUAGUCCAACACAUGCCCCAUGCAGGUGAUCGUCGUGUUCUCGUGUCUCCCCAGUUCAUAUAUGAUUCGAUCUUUACAUUUGUCGUUGUCAAAAAAUCCCCUACAUGCCUACAGAUCUUCCUCCAUACAUCUCUGGAAUAACUGCAUCCGAAGUAUAUAUGGUCGAAACUCUCCAGCUUUGUUGUGCACAACCAGCAUUGUUUAGGUUGAGGGUACCCCCACCCAAUCAGCUUGUCCCUGCAUCGUGAUCCUCCGAAGGUUAGCCCUCCACAUCGUCAUAGCAUACUUGUUGACGUCCGAUGCCCAUAUCCUUGUUGCUAUGUCUUCCCUUGGUGAUGUGGAGUGAGUUACUAUACUUUAUAUCAAUUAGUAAUUGAGCCCAAUAAGAGUGGUUAAUACUUUGUAUUGUUAAUGUUUAUUGUUAGUCUAAUAAUUAGUUAAACAGAGUCACAAAUUCACAUGGUGGGCUUAGAAAGAGUUAGCCUUGACCAAUAUGAUCUUUCCGCAGGAGGAGGGAUUGCAAGAUUUUGGAAUGCUCCAGGUAUCAGCGAUGAUCAACAAAGCAACAAAAUUAUGGACCAGUAGCACAAUUUGGUCACGAUGGAUGAAAUCAAGGUACGUCCGCAACCAGUCGCUCAAUCAAAUAUAACCACGUUACAAUGAUUCACCGACAUGGAAAGGAAUUAUGAGAAAUAGAAAGGCCACCUACAAAUGCACGACAUAUAAUGGAAAUUAUGAAAUCAACUGGAUAAGAAGCAUCGGCAGACUGACAAUCCUGCAGUAGAAAUUUGGGGGGCCAAGGUCAACAAAAUGAAUCUACUAAUGUGGAGGUUGUGUUGGAGGAAUAUCCCAACUAUGGACAAAAUCCAGAAGAGAUGAGUGACAGGUCCGAUUAGGUUCAUGUUGUGUUCUAACGAUGCGGAGACGGUUGACCACGUCUUCUACAAUUGCGUAUUCUAGAGGGAAUUAAGUCAUCGAUGAAUGUCUGGUGGCAGCAGGAAACGUCGUCGUCACCAUAGGACCAGAUUGCACUUUCAAUUUUACUGCGAAAAUCGUCGUCGUCUGGUUUGAGCUCUGCACUGGUCGCUACUAGGAGCAAUAUUAUGGCACCUUUGGAAAGAGCGGAAUGCGAGGAUCGAAAAGGACAAAUUUGUUACCGGCGGAAUCCUGGCUAGAAAAGUGAUUAAUAGGGGAUUAGAUAGAUAUUUUAUGUUAAUUAGCUAUGGUAAUUUUGUAUAAAAUAAUAAAACUCAGCUAUUUACAAUUUUACAUUAAUAUCAAUGAAUCAACACUUGAAAAAAAAUAUUACUCAGCCAAUCCCAAAUUUCUAAAGGUCGUUAAAGGCAUACUAGAGACAUUCUCAGCCUUCACAGGUCUAACAAUCAAUCCUCAAAAAAGUUCUAUCACCUUCUCCAAGAUAUGUGAAAGCUCCACAGAACUCCAACAGAUCUUUGAUUUCCCAGUUUCUAAACUCCCCAUAGUUUAUCUAGGCCUCCCCAUAAGUCAUAACAGGGAAAAAAAAAUCUUACAACUAAUGUUGAAAGUUAAUACAACCCAUAGAAGGCUUGCUAGCUAAAUGGAGGGGCAAAUACCUCUCCUAUGGAGGUAGAAUCCAACUAGUAAACUGGAUACUAGCUGGAAAAUACACAUACUGGGCCCAAGGCAUCAAUCUACCUUCCUCUGUCCACAAAAAAAUUCAAAGGCUGGCGUACCAGUUCAUUUGGGAUGGAAGGAGAGGGAUACCAUGGUCAUUAAUGAUUCUACCUAAGGAGGAGGGAGGAUUAGGAGUUAGAAACCUCCAAAUGAUAGCCUUUGUUGCUCCUAUUAAAAAAACAGCCACAAUAUGUGAUAAGCAAUCUAUAUUUGCACAAUGGAUGCAGAGAAGAUACACCAAAGGCAUGGCUCUUAACAAUAUUAGCCCUAAACACUCCAUUGACUCUGCCCAAUGGAAAGAGAUCUUAGACUCCAAAGAGAAAACCGAUCAAUGCUUGAAAUGCAGGGUCGAAAAUUCUCUAAUUUGAAAAAUUGGAAAUGGAAAACAGAACUUAAGAACCAUCAUUGAAGCCUUAAGAACCAAGGCCACUAAGGAUCCUCUAGCCAAAGGUAUAUGGUCUCAUAUGCCGACAAAAUUCUCAGUAAUGUUGUAGAGGAUAAAAAAUAAACAGAUCAAAACUCUACAGAUGUUCGUCGCAUGGGGUAUCUCCAUACAACUAACCUGCCUCCUCUGUGGUCAGGGAAUUGAGACCAUCAGCCACCUAUUUUUUAAUUGCCCAUAUAUUAGAAAACUUCUUCUACAACUCUCUGAAUAUCUCAACCAGGCCCUUUGGAAAAUAUCAAACUCUCCCUCCGACCCUCACACAUCUAGAUAUUAGAUUUGGAGAUGUAAUAGAAUCAUGUCAAAAACUGACGCAUCAGACUCCUCCAUGGGGCCUACAUUGAAAUGUUAUUGGUUGUCUCACAUGACACAUUUAGUCUGAACGAAACAGGAGGCAUCGCCAACACCCUCUCAGACCCCAGAAGUAAUUUUAGCUGAUAUAGUAAAGACUGUAGAAUAUCUUUUAAAGCUGAUAUCUUUAAGAAAAAAUGUGGUUCACAAUUGGAAAAGACUAUUAUGCAGGUUUGGGAGACAACCUUCCUGAGGCCAAAUUUUUAGUUAGAACACUGGGAAGGAUAGUUAUAUAGAAGAAGGUCGAUAUAUUGGAUAUCAUAAUAUCAACCCCAUCGCAUUUUAUUUUCUUAUUCAAUUGUAUUUGAACUUUUAAUAUUUGUAAAAAAAAAAACACUUCAAAAAAAUGGAAUAAAUUAUUUCUGACUUUUUUGACGGUUGAAGAGAAAUCGAUAAAUAAUGAACGGUGUUGACUGUUGAGUAGAAAGAAGUUCACACAAUCACACCUUUCUUUUAACAAAAUUUACUAAUUACAAAAAUAAAAUUAUCUUUUACGUACAUGUAAUUUGUAAUUUGACCAAGGUGUGGGCUGGAUUUAAAUUCUAGUUUGCGAACAAAAUCCGCGAUCUGAGAAUCCGAGAUCUGUUCGGUCGUCUCAGAUCUCGUUCUCCGUUCAUACCUGCAAUCAGUUCCGAUUCUCUUCUCACCCAAGGUACGACGAACGCUCCCUUUCUUCUUCUUCUCGUCCGAGAUCCAUAAGAUCCACAACUAUCCAGAAUUCACCGGUCAUGUUCUUAUUUUAGGGGGUUUUGUCCCAAAUAAUUUUUCUCAUUCUGAUCGGUAGAUUUUUUGUGUGUGUGAAGAUGAGUGAGAAACCGUGCACGUUGCUCGUCCACUUCGACAAGAGUGCACCGGCUCUUGCCAAUGAGAUCAAGGAAGCGCUGGAGGGGAGCGAUGUCGGUUCCAAGAUCGAUGCGAUGAAGAAGGCUAUCAUGAUUCUGCUUAACGGGGAAAGCAUCCCGCAUCUAUUCAUCACCAUCAUCCGCUACGUACUCCCUUCCGAAGACCACACAAUCCAGAAGCUCCUCCUUCUGUACCUCGAGAUCAUUGAUAAGAAGGACUCUUCCGGAAAGGCACUUCCGGAAAUGAUCUUGAUUUGCCAGAAUUUGAGGAAUAAUCUUCAGCAUCCCAAUGAGUAUAUCCGGGGCGUUACACUUAGGUUUCUUUGUAGGCUCAAUGAGACUGAAAUUAUCGAGCCGUUGAUCCCCUCAGUUCUCUCCAAUUUGGAGCAUAGACAUCCGUUUAUAAGGAGAUACGCUAUUCUUGCAAUCAUGUCUAUCUACAACCUCCCUAAUGGGGAUCAGCUUCUGGUUGAUGCUCCUGAGAUGAUUGAGAAGGCAUUGUCUAGUGAACAUGAUGCCUCUGCCAAGAGGAAUGCUUUCUUGAUGUUGUUUCAGUGUGCACAAGAUCGAGCUGUGAAUUAUCUUUUGUCACAUGUAGACAAUGUUGCUGAUUGGGGUGAGUUGAUGCAAAUGGUUGUUCUAGACCUGAUCCGUAAGGUAUGUCGGACAAACCGUGGUGAGAAAGGCAAGUACAUUAAAAUCAUAAUUUCACUGUUGAAUGUACCUUCCACAGCUGUUGUAUCUGAAUGUGCCGGAACACUUGUGUCGCUGUCGUCUGCACCUACUGCUAUCAGAGCUGCUGCCAAUACCUACUGCCAGCUUCUUGUCUCGCAGAGUGAUAACAAUGUGAAACUUAUUGUGUUGGACAGGCUUAAUGAGCUUAAAGUCUUACACAGAGAGAUCAUGGUCGAUAUGAUAAUGGAUGUGCUCAGGGCUCUUUCUAGUCCUAAUCUUGAUAUCCGCAGGAAGACAAUUGAUAUUGUUCUCGAACUUAUAACCUCUAAGAACAUUGAUGAGGUUGUACUUACACUUAAGAAAGAAGUUAUGAAGACACAGAGCGGAGAGCUAGAAAAUAGUGGGGAAUAUAGGCAGAUGCUUAUUCAAGCUAUACACACAUGUGCUAUCAAGUUCCUUGAGGUUGCCAGCACAGUUGUCCAUCUAUUGAUGGACUUCUUAGGAGAUAGCAAUGUGGUUUCAGCUCUUGAUGUUGUCCUGUUUGUGCGUGAGAUUAUUGAAUCGAACCCCAAGCUUCGGGUGUCUAUUAUUACAAGAAUGUUAGACACUUUUUACCAGAUCCGUGCUGCACGCGUGUGUUCAAGUGCUCUCUGGAUAAUUGGGGAAUACUGUCUCUCUCUAUCUGAAGUGGAGUCUGGGAUUUCUACAAUUAAGCAGUGCAUUGGUGAUCUUCCAUUGUACACUGUUAGCGACGAAACCGAGACAACACCAGAUAAACAAGUGAAUUCUCAGAAAAUAAACUCUUCUGCUGUUGCCUCAUCUAGAAAGCCUGCUGUUCUUGCUGACGGAACGUAUGCUACACAAAGUGCUGCCUCUGAAACUGCAGUUUCUGCUCCAACUCUUGUUUCUGGAACUCUAUCAUCACCAGGGAAUUUGAGAUCAUUGAUCCUCACUGGGGAUUUUUUCUUAGGUGCCAUUGUUUCAUGCACCUUGACAAAACUUAUCCUGAGACUUGGAGAAGUGCAACCAUCUAAAGUUGAAGUCAACAAAGCAUGUACAAAUGCCUUGCUAAUUAUGGUUUCCAUGCUACAAUUGGGGCAGUCAUCAUAUCUUCAACACCCAAUUGACAAUGAUUCUUAUGAUAGGAUAUUAGUGUGCAUAAGGUUACUCUGCAAUACUGAUAAUGAAGUUAGGAAGAUAUGGUUGGAGUCGUGCCGUCAGAAUUUUGCAAAAAUGCUGGCAGAAAAACAAUUUCGUGAGAUUGAGGAGAUAAAGGCAAAGGUUCAAGUAUCUCAUGCACAACCCGACGAUCUCAUUGACUUCUACCAUUUGAAGAGUAGAAAGGUAUGUUUUGUAAUAUUUAUUGUCAUCAAAUUACUUUGAUUUUAACUCCAGUAUUGAUUUUUUAAUCUUUGAUUUGAGCCAUACGGAGAAUAGUCAAGCUAUCUAAAUUUACCAAUCCAAAACACUGAAAAAUAUUCAUACAGAUUCUAUUAUUAUCAAAUCAUUCAAAUAUCAAUAUGGAUAAUAUCUCAAUCAGGUUUUCAUUCGGUAAAUUGUUUGAAUUUGUCUUUUAUGGUUAUUUAGUUUUUUGGCUAUUCCAGCUGAUUGGCCUUUGGAUGAUAAUUAUAUAACCUAAUAAACUUAUAAACCUAUAGGCCAUGGUGUAAAUAGUCAUCUUACACUAAAGAUUAGAUGAAUUUUGUCUCAUAUUAUUUCUUUUGGACUCAAAAAACAAUAUAUAGAUAGAAUAAUCAAUCAUCAAUUACAGAUUGCUUGACUAUUCUUCGAUUUCACAGGGCAUGAGCCAGCUUGAGUUGGAGGAUGAGGUUCAAGAUGAUUUAAAACGUGCAACUGGAGAGUUUGUAAAUGAUGGCGACGAAGCUAAUAAACUCAACCGAAUCAUGCAACUUACGGGAUUCAGUGAUCCUGUGUAUGCUGAAGCAUAUGUCACAGUUCAUCAUUAUGAUAUUGUUCUUGAUGUUACUGUCAUUAAUCGGACGAGGAAUACUCUUCAGAAUUUAUGCCUGGAAUUGGCAACCAUGGGAGAUUUAAAACUUGUGGAAAGACCACAGAAUUACACACUGGCACCAGAAUCGACCAAGCAAAUUCGAGCCAAUAUUAAGGUUUCUUCAACUGAAACUGGAGUUAUAUUUGGUAAUAUUGUUUAUGAAACCUCAAAUGUUAAUGAACGGACAGUCAUUGUCCUUAGUGACAUUCACAUUGAUAUUAUGGACUACAUUUCUCCUGCUACAUGCUCUGACGUAGCAUUCAGAAGUAUGUGGGCAGAAUUUGAGUGGGAAAAUAAGGUAAACCAUCCUAUUUUUAAAAUUUUGCAUUUCAGUUUUUACAGUGAAAUUAUGCUGCAUCACAAAUUAUAAUAGUUGAUCAGUUGAUAAAUCAAUGAUGCUAUAUUUCUCGCACAUGCCUACAUUACUGCAUACAAAUUUUCGUUUGCUUAAUGUUUUGAAUUCCCGUUAUAAUUUAUAACCCAAAUACCUGUCAUUUGUUAUUUCCAAUUUCUAUCAAGUAUCAAAGUAAUCAAACUAUCAACCCUGGUCUUCUUAUAGCCAAUGUUUGAAUUAUGCAUGCGAUAGCACGAUUUAAUCCCGUAGCGUAUUUUCUAGCGCUAAAAUGAAAAAUCAUUCCAUUUCAUUCGGGUAAUCAUGUGGAUCCGGGAGAGAUUUUCCAUGUUACCUUAAUAAAUCAUUAAUGUCCCUUAAAUAAAUCAUGAUUUCAUCCAAAUAGUGCCAAUUACAAGAGCUUCCAACUGGCCAACAAUCACUGCUGGCCUUCGGAGAUUACUUUGGUCUCCGGUGAGCUCUUAUUCGCCUUCUCUGACGAACUUUGUUGCUUCUCUGCUCUCCAAAGUUUGAUCUCCAGCUCUUCAUUUUUUUAAAUAGAUUGUUAAUUAAACCCCGAUGGCUUGAUCUUUUAUUACUUUUCUACUAUAGACAUAUUUUAAUGUGUUAGUUAACUUAGUUUGCUACUCUGUUAUCUAUAUAAACUAUACCUAUUUUAAUAUAUUAGAUUGUUUUAAAUAAACAUUUUUUAGAACAAUGGACUACUAUGUAUAAUUAUUAAAAAUGGACUAGCUUCAGUUGAGAUAUUUAUUUGUGAGAUCCCAUGAGAUAUUUUAAUCCCAGCCGUUCUUUAUAAAUCAAAUGAUUGAGAAAAAGAAUGCAUUGAUAUUUAAAAAAAAAUGCAUUGAGAGAAAAAAUGCAUUGAUAUGAAAUCUCACAAGUAAAUAUCUCACCUGAACUCCUGAAGUGUUUUCUAUUAAAAAUAUAGCUGGCGUUAUAUAGCAUACCAUAACCCCUGUUAUUCCAUAACGUGGAUAAUUCAAACCUUGCGUUAUUGUAGUACAUUUACUAUCAUCUUAUUUAUUCUCGAACGUUAUAGCAUGACAUAACCCCGGUUAUUCCAUAGUAUGGAAUGGAUAACUCAAACAUUGUGUUAUCGACUUAUCGUGGUAAAUUUCAUUACAUUUACUAUCAUAUUAUUUAUUAUCGGAUGUUAUAGCACGACAUAACCCCGGUUAUUCCAUAGUGUUCCGUAGCGUGAAAUGGAUAACUCAAACAUUGUGUUAUCAACUUAUCGUGGUAAAAUUUAUUACAUUUUCUAUCUUAUUUAUUAUUUGACGUUAUAGCAUGUCAUAUCCCCGGUGGAAUGGAUAACUCAAACCUUGUUAUCGUAGUAAAUUUCAUUACAUAUACUAUUAUCUUAUUUAUUAUUGCCUGUUCAAUUAUUUUAUUAUAAUGUGCAUAUUUCAGGUCCAUUUUCAUAUUUCAUCUUCAUUGUUUGUCUUUUGUUUAUAACUGUUAAUGGCUCUGUCCUGCAUUUCAGGUGGCUGUGAACACUGUUAUUCAAGACGAGCAGCAAUUCUUGGGUCAUAUUAUAAAGUCAACAAACAUGAAAUGCCUCACAGCACCGUAAAUUCUGAGACCUUUUAUUUUUUAGCUAUUAUACAAUCUCUUUUAUUAUCAGCAAUUAUCUAUACCGUAUUUUCUUUUGCUCUGUCUUCAUGAAAAUUUGAUUAUAUUAUCCCAAAUUUGCACAUUCGUGCUAAACGUUAGCUUUGGUUAAAAUGUUCUUCUGUUUGUUGCUCGAAUCAGGUCUGCAUUGGAUGGACAAUGUGGUUUCCUCGCAGCAAAUCUAUAUGCUAAGAGUGUAUUCGGAGAGGAUGCUCUAGUAAAUGUAAGUAUUGAGAAGCAAACUGAUGGGAAGUUAAGCGGGUACAUAAGAAUAAGGAGCAAGACGCAAGGUAUUGCUCUAAGCUUAGGAGACAAGAUCACAAUCAAACAGAAGGGAGGUUCUUAGAAGAAGAAGAAGAAUUAACCACCAGGUUUUACUUUUUAUGAGCUUGCGUUUAUUUUUGGAUCAACCGUCUCUUAUUCCGAUUUCCAAAACUACCUUUCGCUUGCAAUAAAUACCAAUACUUCUUUAUAACGCACCACACUCGAGUCGCUCUUGAUACAAAGAUUUCUUUCACUUGUAUUGGAAUUUGAAAAGAAAUGUUUAGUUAGCAGUCAAUUAUUUGUGUAAGGGUUACAUAUUUACU
RNAcentral lists this long non-coding RNA (10403 nucleotides) under Zostera marina. RNAcentral describes it as "long non-coding RNA (ZMAR_LNC001732)". Lineage: Eukaryota; Viridiplantae; Streptophyta; Magnoliopsida; Alismatales; Zosteraceae. The record is from RNAcentral.